This 234-nucleotide ribosomal RNA is filed under the name uncultured eukaryote. Its description in RNAcentral is "partial 18S ribosomal RNA". It matches the Rfam family "Eukaryotic small subunit ribosomal RNA", at positions 1208 to 1456 of the family's 1831-position model. The record is from RNAcentral.
GGGAAACUUACCAGGUCCAGACAUAGUGAGGAUUGACAGACUGAUAGCUAUAGCUCUUUCGAGAUUCUAUGGGUGGUGGUGCAGGGCCGUUCUUAGUUGGUGGAGUGAUUUGUCUGGUUAAUUCCGUUAACGAACGAGACCUUAAUCUGCUAAAUAGGAUCCAUAACCUAUGUUUCAAGGACGCCUUCUUAGAGGGACGUUGCGUGUCUAACGCGAGGAAGUGUGAGGCAAUAA